UUACUACCACUAUAUACUCUUAAGUAAAAGCAAGAGAGCUUUUCAUUUUGAAAAUAAUGCAUGUGGACUCACUCACCAACGUCUUCCUCCAAUGGAGAACACAUCUGAGUAGUAGGUAUCUUUGAGCAGCGUGGAGAAUCCCCGAAUGGUCCAGGUAAAUCUCGGGUUAUAGAAUUUCUCAGCGACAGUGAAAAGUUCAGAUUUUUCAAACAGAGAAGGAACGGUCACAUCAACACCAAACUCGCAGUGAUCUCCAUCGUAGAGGUAUCCAUUUCUUGAGUCUUUAAAAGUAUCAACAGGGAGAACCUGAGAGAAUCCCCACAUCGUUUUGAAGAGAUUGAAUCUCCAUCCAUGUGUAUCUGUAGUAACAAAACAUAGAUUGAUAGAUAUUACUAUACAUAAUAGACCAUCUCUCUUGUUUAAAGAUCACAUAUUUGGUGUGGGGAUUGAAAACUAGCAAAAACCUUGGAUGGUAAAGUACUUCUUCUCUAUCCUGUUGAAGACAUAAAACCUGAGAUCAACGUAAACUUCUUGAUGUGGAGAGAGAGUUGAAUUGUCUAUGGCUACGUAAAGCGAAAGGAACCCUGCACCAUUAUCUUUCUUGUUCCCGUUGGGAUACACAACAAGUGUCCUGCAUAGACAUUUGUAUUAGCAUGUAAAAGAUUCGACACGAGUGAAUAGAGAUCAUAUUAUCAGAAAAGUACCAGUUGUAUCCAGAGGCCGAGAAAGGACGAGAUACGUAUCUCUCUGUGUUCGUUGACUUAAGGAGCGUGUUAAAAGACUCCAUCUUGAGAGAGUAAGUAGCUGGAGGACGAUCUCUGAGUCCCGUCAAUUUGUUUGAAUCUGAGAGUUUAUAAUUACGUGAUGAGAUCUCUUGAUGUUGAUAUGGGUAAUGCGCUUCUCCCUGGAUUGUUUUUGGUCCUGCUCCAUUCUCCUCUGUUUUGAGAAAGAAAACAGAGCAUUUGACAUCAAAACAGAGGAUGUGUCACAAUGUUCAAAUAUAUCACAGUCCAAACACAUAUAGUAUAAAAGAUAUUUAGAUAGAUCCUCAUAAAUAUUGGAUCAUAUCUAAUAGCAAAAGAGAUUUGCAUACGCUGCAGAUUUGUGUUGAGGUCAUCAGUGAAUUGGCGUAUGAAGGAACGUGAAGAGGCAGACGUGAUGAAGAGGCAAAACAAGAGAUUAACAGCAGAAACUGUGUUUGUGUAGUGACUCUUCAUCUUUGAAGGUUGUAUAUGUGAGUGAACUGUAGAUAACAGAGGUUAGUGAGAGUGGACUUAUAUACUUGAGAGGCAUAUUUGCUUUGCAUGCUUAGGAAGACUCCAGAAAUUUAUUAAAUUAUUACAUGAUACUGUUGUUUAUUAUUAUUAUAUUUUUAAUACCUAACUCUUGUGUUUUUUUGCCUCGUGUUUGUCAUGGAAAAUGAAAAGUUGAAAUCACUUUUUGGUUUAUAAGGUGGUUACAUUCAUCAUGGGGAAAUUGCAGAAAAAAAAUUGUAUAUGUUUUUUUUUUUCAUUUUACUUUCAAUCUGUGAAAAUGCAAAACAACCAUCUAUAUAAUGUAAAACCCGCAAUAAUAGCCUCUACGAGUGGUGCUGAUUACUCCUCAUAUUUAAACAAACAUUCGACCAAAAUCAUAAUAAAUCUGACACAGAUUGAAAGAACACAUACUUUGGCUCCACUCGUAUGAUAGAAAUCUAUAUAUAUAAAGUAAAAUGUUCUCAAACUCUAAAAUUUUGACACAUCAUCAAUUCAUUUAUUAAUUUAUAAUUUAUUAUAUUUUGUGUUAUUAUACUUUAAUUCUCAUAGUAACUAUCAUCCAUUAAUAUAACAAGAAUAUGAAUAUACAUUUUUUAUAAAUAAUAGUUUAUAUAUUAAUGCAUUUAGUCAUUAUUAUUUUAAAUUAUUUAUUUUGUUUAUAUGAUUCAACAGAUAUGUAUAGUAAAACAUAAAAUUUUAAGAUAGUCAGAUUUGGAUACAGUUUUGUCAAAUCCGAAAAACAAAUUCUCGGAUCCAAAAUUUUUAAUGUCUAAAAAUAUUAAAAUUCGUUUUAAAACCAAUAUAAAACACUAGAAUAUAACAAAAGACAUAAAUUUGAAGAAAAUUAGAAUGAUAAAUUAUAAAAUUAAAAUGCAUAUAGACGGGUUAGGAAUAUUUGCACGAAUUUCAAAAAGCUCAAGUGAAAAUUAUAUCAUUUUCUAUUUUAAUUAUUUUUGUUAUUUGUAAUAGAAUAUCAUGUAAUAAUUUACAAAAUAAAAUUUAUUUUUUAAAAUGACUACUUAAAUAAUAAUAUAGAGAGUGAGAAUGCAUAUUUGUGAAACAAAUUGUGAUAUCACAAAAUGUUAACAUGUUCAACCUAAUCUUUGAAACAUAAAAUGGGUGAAGUUCCCCUUAAAAAAUUAUAUAGAGCUCAUGUUAGAGAUGUGACAUUGAGAGUGACUAGAAAAAAGAAAAACAUGAGAAAGAUAGAAAUUUCAACUGGUCCAAUAUGUUGUGUGUGGUUCAACAUGUUGCAUUGAUGAGAGAGAGAACAUGAGAGGGAAAGGAGAGUGAGAGGGAAAAGGAUAGUGAGAGGGAGAGGGAGAUGGAGAAGGAGAGGGAGAGGGAGAUGGAGAGGGAGAUGGAGAGGGAAAUGAGUGUAGAAAAAAAAAGAUUAUGAAUAUAUUUUGAAAAUAUGUUAGGGAAUUGAGAUAUUUUUAAAUAAUUAAUUGCCUCUUACAUAUAUUUUUUCCUGAAUACAGUAAUUAAGAAUUGUAUAUGUUCCAAAAUCAUAAACCCGCAUAAAUAUAAAGAUAUCUAUAAACUAAAAUGAUUUAAAGUUUUAAUUGAUAUAUUAUUUGAUUAUUUUUUAUAUGUUUUAUAUAAAUUAUAAAAUACAAUAAGUAUAUAUAAAAAAUUAAAAUACAAAAUCUAAUAAAAAAAAUUGAUAUUGUAAAGUUUUUUCUUAAAUAUGUUAAUAAAUACAAUACAAAAUUCCGCGCGCAGAUCAGCCCCUAGUAAUUAAUAAGAUAGAACCAAAACUUUAGUGUUACUUACGGUGAUUUGUAAUUGUACUAGAAAAAGGACUAGUUUUAAAUUUUGAAGACUUCGAUUACUUUUUACAAUACAAAAAAUAACUUUUUUCUAAAAUUUAGAAUAGACUCAAAGGUCAAUGAUGAAAAGUAAACGCAUUAUCAAACCAGCUUGGGAUUUACCCCAACUGGUAUACUAGUCACAAAGAAAACAAUAUAUCAUGCACAAGUCUCAGUACUUUUUCACCUCCCUAAGCAUCUACUAAAUCAUCUCCCCUUCUAUAUAUAUAUAUUCACACACAUAUCAUAAUCCUGAGCAAGUCUCACACUCUCUAGAGUUCAGUAAUUCAAAAAUCUUUGACAUGAUGAUGAGUUACUAGAAAGAUACUUUAUGUAUUGUUUCUCUCUUGCCUUGUCUGUUCAUCACCUCUUCUUUUGUAGGACCAGUCCCAAACGUGGAGAAUGGUUCUCAGAAACUUAUCCCCACUCAAAUAUCAUCACGUGAUAUACCAAACUCUCAAUAUCGAGUACGGUGAAAGGCCUGAGAGAACGUCCUCCAUCGUCUUAUUCUCUCAAAUUGGAAUCUCAACACACUCAUUAUUCAUUAAGACUCUACCUACACCGAGAAAUAUGAGCCGCGUCUUCUUAGGGUCGGUAGAUACAAUUGGUGCGUACCAUUUCUGUUUUGUUUUUCUGCUUUAAUUUAUUAAUUAAAAAAAUGUUCUGUGCCUUUGUCCUUAUGUAGACCCGCAACAAUAAUACUUGUGUCCAUGCAACGUAAAUCGUCUCUACCAAAUUAAUAUAGCACCAUGAUGUCCCAUUUUUGCUGAAUAAUUUCUAUAUCGAUAAUUUCACACGAACAAAUAACACACAUUAAUUGAAAAGCAGGACGCUCACUGUGUAUGUGUGAGACCCCGCUCCCUUCUUCCCUUCCGGGAACUAGACAGAUCGGCUAUCAAAUCCAUGAGAUUUCGAAUCUGUCCGACGGUCGGCAGUCGUUUGGUUCAAAAGGUUCGUAAGACUUGUCUACUAUCUCUGCAAUCACCACGUGAUCUUUCUCCGUGUUUUUGUAUUCACUCACACAGUACCACGGACCACUUCCCGGUAUGUUAUCCAUUCUGAGAUUGCUCCAGUAUACGCACGCUUAACUUUGGAGUUUUCUCAAGACCAGUGCACUUUGAUGACAUAGGUAACCAAAUCAAUUCUUAUAAAUCUUUUUCAUAUAUACUAAAAAUCGAGAUAUCACAGUAAGUAUGAAACAAGAAUGAUUAUGGUGCUAUUAAUUCAAAUCGUUAGAAUGAUGAUCUUAUUUUUAUCUUGUAUCGAGUCAAAGUUUUGUUUGUGUUUUACCAUGUCCAAGUUUAAGUACCACAUAAUAUUUGUACAAAGUAAACAAAUCACUUGUUGUUGAGUUUUUUUUUGUUUAGAUCUCAAGGAUAUCAUCUAUGAUGGUUGCCUAGAGCUAUGGUUUGCCAUAAGAAGCUAGAUUCACUUUCAAGUUUCUUCUUCUAAACUCAGUUUAAAGCUAUACAUGUCGUAAACACGUUUUUCUUUGCUUGAAUAUACAUCAGUCAAAAAAAAAAAAAAAAUCCCUUGAUGCUUGCAAGAAGGGCGAUUAUUUUAUAAUAUGUAUGAGAGUUUAAACUCAUUUAUUUGAAACGCAAACUCAGACAUAUUAUUUGGUGGCUGAUAACAAAGCAAAAACAUGCAUGGAGUUGCAAGUUCCUUGGUUAGAGAAAAUCUAAUUAGGGAAAUACUUGGUUGAAGAUAUGGCUUCAAGUUCCGCUUGAACCAUCAACACAUCAUUGACAAGGAAACCCUUUGAUGAAUCUUUGAGAUCAGAGAGUGGCAUAAACUCAGGACGACCCCACCCAAAUCCAUCUCCAUAUCCCGGACCAUUGAACCAAUUAUCAACUGCCAAAAUAAAGAAAGCUCACAAGAAAGCACUCAUUAGUCACCGGGGAUGCAUGUCUCCAUAUAUAGCCAUGAAUAAAUAUGUUUUGCUUACUUAGUAUCUCUACAUUAUUAUUGAAUUAUCGUUGGUUAAGAACUCGAAGCUUGGCUCGAACAUAAAUCUUCUCAUAGGGUCUGAACUUCUCAUUGGCGUUAAGGAUAAGAUACAUCGACAAGGCUUUUCCCUCUCCCCAGGCACGACCACUUGGAUGCAAUUGUAUAUUCCUGAUCUCAUCAUUACGCAAUACUUGUUAGUACCACUAUAUACUCUUGAGUAAAAGCAAGAGAGCUUUCACAUUUUGAAAAUUAAUGCAUGUGGACUCACUCACCAACGUCUUCCUCCAAUGGAGAACACAUCUGAGUAGUAGGUAUCUUUGAGCAGCGUGGAGAAUCCCCGAAUGGUCCAGGUAAAUCUUGGGUUAUGGAAUCUCUCAGCGACAGUGAAAAGUUCAGAUUUUUCAAAGCGAGAAGGAAUGGUCACAUCAACACCAAACUCGCAGUGAUCUCCAUCGUAGAGGUAUCCAUUUUUCGAGUCUUUAAAUGUAUUAACAGGGAGAACCUGAGAGAAUCCCCACAUCGUUUUGAAGAGAUUGAAUCUCCAUCCAUGUGUAUCUGCAACAAAACAUAACAUAGAAUGAUAGAUAUUACUAUACACAAAAG
Molecule: long non-coding RNA, 5620 nt
Filed under: Eutrema salsugineum
Lineage: Eukaryota; Viridiplantae; Streptophyta; Magnoliopsida; Brassicales; Brassicaceae
Description: long non-coding RNA (ESAL_LNC001626)
Source: RNAcentral